UACGUAGGGUGCGAGCGUUAAUCGGAAUUACUGGGCGUAAAGCGUGCGCAGGCGGUUUUGUAAGUCUGACGUGAAAUCCCCGGGCUCAACCUGGGAAUUGCGUUGGAGACUGCAAGGCUGGAGUCUGGCAGAGGGGGGUAGAAUUCCACGUGUAGCAGUGAAAUGCGUAGAGAUGUGGAGGAACACCGAUGGCGAAGGCAGCCCCCUGGGUCAACACUGACGCUCAUGCACGAAAGCGUGGGGAGCAAACAGG
RNAcentral lists this ribosomal RNA (253 nucleotides) under uncultured bacterium. RNAcentral describes it as "partial 16S ribosomal RNA". It matches the Rfam family "Bacterial small subunit ribosomal RNA", at positions 524 to 776 of the family's 1533-position model. The record is from RNAcentral.